This 409-nucleotide ribosomal RNA is filed under the name bacterium. RNAcentral describes it as "partial 16S ribosomal RNA". It matches the Rfam family "Bacterial small subunit ribosomal RNA", at positions 355 to 776 of the family's 1533-position model. The record is from RNAcentral.
UGGGGAAUAUUGCACAAUGGGCGAAAGCCUGAUGCAGCGACGCCGCGUGAGGGGUGACGGCCUUCGGGUUGUAAACCUCUUUCAGUAGGGACGAAGCGCAAGUGACGGUACCUGCAGAAGAAGCACCGGCUAACUACGUGCCAGCAGCCGCGGUAAUACGUAGGGUGCGAGCGUUGUCCGGAAUUACUGGGCGUAAAGAGCUCGUAGGCGGUUUGUCACGUCGUCUGUGAAAUCCUAGGGCUUAACCCUGGACGUGCAGGCGAUACGGGCUGACUUGAGUACUACAGGGGAGACUGGAAUUUCUGGUGUAGCGGUGGAAUGCACAGAUAUCAGGAAGAACACCGAUGGCGAAGGCAGGUCUCUGGGUAGUAACUGACGCUGAGGAGCGAAAGCAUGGGUAGCGAACAGG